GCCGGUGAUGACUUGUAUUGGUUGCUGAACAGGCAAAUUUGAUUGCCUGGACUCUGUCGACAUUUUGCAUGAACUAGGACGGUCUGAGGC
This 90-nucleotide small nucleolar RNA is filed under the name Triticum aestivum (bread wheat). RNAcentral describes it as "Small nucleolar RNA snoR20a". It matches the Rfam family "Small nucleolar RNA snoR20a". From Rfam's summary of the family: The O.sativum sequence was obtained from the plant snoRNA database. Lineage: Eukaryota; Viridiplantae; Streptophyta; Magnoliopsida; Poales; Poaceae. RNAcentral also lists the same sequence under 1 other name. The record is from Rfam by way of RNAcentral.